Long non-coding RNA from Esox lucius (northern pike), 5711 nucleotides. The record is from Ensembl. NCBI's taxonomy places the organism in Eukaryota, Metazoa, Chordata, Actinopteri, Esociformes, Esocidae.
GGAGAAUUCACAAUAAAUCCCUCUCACAGCCACCGGAGGGCGAGCAUUCAAGGUGAGCACGGGUGAAGAGGAUAACUAUACAAAUCAUUGGAAAUCUCCUUUGAUAAAUUCAUUUGAUCGCCUAUUCCCUAUGGGCACAAUGCUAUUGAUUUUUUAAACCAAUCUCUUCUUGGCUUUUCUAUAGCAAUCGGGUGAAUACGAUUUACAUUGUGUUAGGAACCUUUGAUUCCGGAUAUCAUGUUGACAAUGGGACACGGUUAACUGUAAAACAGGAUGUUUUUCUCCGUCGUUCAGGUAACGCUGCGAGUACAGCUCCGGGGGAAAAAAAUUACAAGACCACUGAACCAUUGAUCUGUUCUUUCCCCGUGAGCAGAGUAGGGCCGAGCCAGGGAUGCAUGCCUGCCUGCCUGCCUGCCUGCCUGCCUGCCUGCCUGCCUGCCUGCCUGCAUAGAGAAACUAGAGCCAGGGCUAACCCUAUCAUCCAGUACCCAGGUGAGAAUUGUGCUACAUAAAUAUACUGUGUAGCCUGUAUAGAGAACCAGGGCAUGAUCCUCCUUCCUGUUGUGUGUGUGUGUGUGUGUUUGCUGUGAAAAUUGUGAAUCCAACAACACCAGGCCUGUGCUAAUCGCACCUGUAGUUCCUAAGAUAGUCCAAGUUGAAGCACAGCCAAUCACAAGCCAGAUAUUCAAAUGAGAGUCAAACUCUUGAGGGUCAAAGUCGUUUUUAUGCUUAUACCUAACCCUAACCCUAACCUCUAUUCCAAGGUUUGCUCUAAUUUAGCGCCUUAUCCUUACCCAUGGCCCUACAAGGUGGAGUUGGACUUUCCUUUAGAUAAUGACUCCCUUCUUUUAAGCCUAUGUGGCUACUUUGACCCCUGACUCCGGGGAGUCUUUAUUCUCUUUAGCUAAUUAGAAGUACGGAUAAGGAAUUACGGAUUUCUUUUCUCCUUGUUUUGGAUCAGAUUCCCUCCUAUUGGGGGCUUAUUAUUUGAUUUAAAUUAUAAUUUAUAGUCCCAUUUCUAAAUUUAAUAAAAUUAGUUAGGGGAAGGACAAAGUUGCGUACAAACUAAUGUGCACGCACUUUCCGCCAUCUCUUUCUUUUCAGCCACGCACUCGUCUUGAACGCACGGUAGAGAGCUAUUACUACUUAAUAAGCCUGAUGAAGACCAAUCUUGGUCGAAACGUUGCUUGUUGUAUAUAGUUUUUAUUGUUAAUAAACUUAUAUAAUUUUGAAAUCAUCACAGAGUUUAUUUUCGGUUCUUUACAAAAAGUUUAGUUCGAGUUUUUGCACAGUGAUGGCUCCUGGAUGUGAAUAAAAUGUCUCGUUGGCGACGAAAUUAUGAGGAUUAUUGGGAUAACCAUGAUUAUGAGCAACCCAGACGACGUCGAAGGUCGUUUUCGCCGCCUGGGCGACGUUAUAAUAAUCCCUAUAAUAAUCGUUACAACCAUGAUGGCCGCUCGUAUGCUACUGUUGUCCGUGAGGGCCGACCACGUGCAACUUGGCCUGUCCAGCACCGGUAUGGGCCUCAAGACUAUGCUAACCCGAACCAGGGUAGAUAUCGUCGACGUCCCCGGAGUGGUGGGGACCGGUCCUAUCCCAGAAGGAGAUCCAGGGACAAUUACCGCCGUCCGACGCGCCGGCCUGCCAGCCGGUCCAGGGUGGUACGUACUCGAAGUCAGGGGCGACGGAGGUCGAAUAGCAGGGACCUACCGUCGGAUAAGCCCAUUAGUACGGACCCCGAAUUCACUGCAAAGACACGGGGUAUAUUAAAAUUAAUUAAGGCUACCCACCAUUUAGGAAAUGUUAUGUCGGAACAGCCUCCAAUUUCAAUAGCUAACAUAGCUAAUCAUUUAAUUACGGCUAUUAAACCUGCUGCCCCUACGGCGAAUACAUUGUCCCUCAUAGAGGGGAAUGCUAGGUAUUGGGCACAGAAUACAAUGAUCAUACUCAGGGAUCAUUACCAAGAUGACAUUCAAAAUGCUGUCCAGAUCCUAAUACAAUUAGAAGCCUGGGACUGGAGACAGAACUUUGAUAUUGCUUCUGCAUGGGCUAAGAGCCAAUUUGGACGCAGGUUGAGGGAGGACACUUUGGAUGAAGUACAAACUCAAUUACGUGAGAGACUAAUUGCCCCCUCCAGAACACAGCGUGUCUCUGAAUCCAGAAUUGAGGAACAAAGACCGGUAAUGUCCAUGCAAACACUGCCAGAGGGGGAUUUUCCAUCUCUUUUACCGGAGAGGAGGAGUAAGCUACUGACCGUCACAGCAGAGGUGCACCCUCCUCCUCCUUCCUUGAACCUGAGGGAAUUCUCCGAACCACUCCUGGCCCCUGCAACGGUUGCCAGGCCCAGGAUGAUGGACUGUGGCACGAUGACCGCCCCCACUAGUGACUGGUCGCCGGAGAAACUUCAAGAACCUGGGAGAGUGGAGGGAGCUUCCUCCCCUCCGUUCCCCUUCCCCUCCCCUGGUUCUCCUGUUCCCCCCUUUGUCUCCCUCCCCAUUCUAUAUUCUCCUACUAUCCCUCUAACACAGGCACCCAAACCGCAGAGGAAGGUUCGGAGGCUGGAGUCACCCACCUCGGUGAUUCACCACGCUCCCUUGACCAGUGGGGUACAUACUCCACCUCGGGCGGCUACAGAUUGGCAGUCCUGUGAUGAUGAGUCGGAGGAUGAAACGACACGACGGGCAGGGCCUUUUGUCCCUCCUACUUCUGGUGCCCGUGUGAGUCAGGGGACCUCCUCGUCAUCGGAUUCUUCUUCAGAGGAGGACCAACCGCUGGUGGACAAGGACUCAGACAGCCCCAUUCCACCGACCCCUCCGCCGAUGGGACCUGCGGCCCAGGGCACUCCUGCUCUCAACAAACCACGGGUUUCCUCCCCUUUAUCUUUACAAAAACCUUUUAGGCAUAUGACUACACUAAAUAAAAUGAGGGAUUGGAAGAUUUCAUACAAAUGCAAAUUGGUAGUGCUUGGAGACUCCAAUCUGGCUAGAUACCACCCUUUGCACAGAAAGAUCUACAGAUUGAUUGUUAUCCAGGGGCAACUUUUAGAAAUGCCGAGGCCAUUUUGGCCGGCUCUAGGGCCUCUCCCAUAGUACAUACCUUAGUUUUGGCCUUGGGGAUAAACAAUAGGGCCCAGAGUCCUGACAAGACUUCCAUUAAACAACUGCAAGGGGCAAUCAGAAUGGCCAAGUACACCUGUCCGGAAGCGCAGGUAGUGGUCCCACUCAGAGGGAGAAUCUGUCCAAACUGAACAAUUACAUUGCCAGACAACAAUGUUUUCUCCCCAAACUGUCAGGUGAUCUGUUUGAGACGGAGAGGGACAACAUUCAUUGGACUCAAAGCACAGCUCGGCGCAUGCUGGACCACUGGCUGACCUGUUUAAACAAGUUGUCCCCGUGAAUCCUGUUCUGGGUACGGGGGACAAGACUGUGGUUAACUUAUCUAAGCACUUUAUUCCUACAGGAGCACAGCUGACAUUGUUACAUAAGGGUUUAACUUUCAUUCCAUCAGUGGACGGUCACAAUAACCCUAGGGUCAGAGGUCAAAUUAGACAUGACCUGCAACAGUACCAUAGACGGAUCAAGCUGGCGGUAUACUUUGAAGACCAGCCUGAUUCUAAACCUUUGCCUUUUACACAUAGGUCUACCUGGGUCCCUCCUGCUGACAAACUACCAUCCAGUGUAUUACGUUUGAUUAAGGAUGAUAUUGAUUAUUUUCAAUCUGAUUUUACUAUUGGUAGAACGGAUUCAAAUCUAAACCAUUUGGAGAUUAAGGCACACAAAACACUGCUUUCUGAUAACACCAUAGUUAUCAAGCCUGCUGACAAGGGCAGUGCUAUAGUCAUUAUGGAUAGGGCUCAAUACCUUUGGGAAGGAUAUAGACAACUGAACGAUGCCACAUAUUACAGUAAAUUGGACAAACCCAUUUACAGGGACACCAUUCCUAUGGUUAAUAAAAUUCUUGACUCCCUUAAGGCCAAGAAAUUUAUCAACCACAAACAAAAGACAUAUUUGCAAGGAGACUCUGACCCUAGAGCCAGGUUGUUCUAUAUGUUACCCAAGAUACACAAGGCCAGGUCAUCCUGGAACAGAGAUGGGGAAAUUCCACCAGGUAGACCUAUAGUGUCUGACUGUAAUAGUGAAACCUAUUUUACGGCUGAAUACAUUGAUUCAUUCCUUAAUCCUCUCUCAAUUGGUCAUCCCAGCUAUGUCAAAGAUACAUACCACUUUAUUGAUAUAGUCAAAAACCUUACUAUCCCUAUAAAUUAUUUUCUAUUUACUAUGGAUGUAGAAAGUCUCUAUACAAACAUUGACAUUAAGGAGGGCAUCCAAUCAAUUAAAAAUGUUUUUAUGAAACAUCCAAACAGUAAAAGGCCUGAUAAGGAAUUACUUCAAUUAUUAGAUAUAAAUUUAUCUAGGAAUGAUUUUGAAUUCGAUAAUAAAUUCUAUUUGCAGAUUAAAGGGACUGCCAUGGGGAAGAAAUUUGCCCCAGCCUAUGCUAACAUUUUCAUGGCAGAGUGGGAGGCCUCUGCCUUAGCUACCUGUCCCAAACAACCUCUACAAUACUAUAGGUUCUUAGACGACAUCUGGGGGAUCUGGACCUAUUCGAGGGAGGACUUUGAGGAAUUUAUUAAUACUCUAAACAAUCACAAUAAGUCUAUUAAGGUCAAAUCUACUUGGAGUGAGUCUUCAGUAGACUUUCUGGACACUACCACUUACAAAGGCCCUACAUUCAUUGAUUCAGGUAAAUUGGACAUUAAAGUCUUCUUCAAAGAAACAGAUACACAUGCCCUGUUAUUCCGGUCUAUUUUCCAUCCGCAGCAUACGUAUGCAGGACUCUUAAAGUCACAACUACUCCGGUUUCAUAGGAUCUGUACAAGGUAUGAGGACUUUAAGUGGGCCACCCAAAUAUUGUUCUCUGCUUUGUCCACUAGAGGCUAUACUAGGACUAUGUUUAGAAAGGCACUCAAAUCUUUUAAACAAGCUAAACCACAAGUAUUAGAUUCCAUUUUGCCGGUCAUUACUACUUAUUCACCCUACACAGUAAAACUUAUGAGGGUGAUUAAGUCACACUUUAAUUCCUUUACAGAAAGGUCUAACCACUUACCUGAUCAUAGGUUGAUUGCAGCAUACAGGCGCAACAAAAACUUACAAGAUACAUUGGUAAAGGCCAAGUUGAAACCUUUGUCUCCCCCCAAACAGGCUGGCAAAGGGGAAUUCUUUAAGUAUUCAUUUUGGGCCACUAACCGCCAUAGUGGGGAGGUUUUCAGGACACAGGCUAACACCAAUGUACACACCAAAAACUGUGUGUAUUUGAUCAAGUGCAAACACUGCACUCUACAAUAUGUGGGGGAAACUGGUAACACUUUAUUGACUAGGUUUGCCCAACACAGAUACACCAUCACUAAGAGAAGGGGCACUGGUACUCCCCUAGUACGACAUUUUGGUACACAGGGCUGGUCCAAUCUGGCGGCCACUGUCUUAGAGGCUAAUUCAAGGUGGUCCAGGGCCCAGAGAAGGAGGGUUGAAAGGCUCUGGAUUCACAGGCUCAGCACAACUCAACCGUUGGGUUUGAACGAGGGGUGAGGGUCCUGGGGUUGACCGCGGGUGCAUAGUUUAUGCACUGGUGCCUUCGGCACCCACUCUAUCUGUUUCCUAACCCUAACCCUAACCCUAACCCUAGAUCCUUUACCUGGCAGGCAUAAAAAAUAUCAC